CAGUUGUCAUAAAUUUACAGAAGUCUCAUUGUCUCAUUGUUAACAUUUUUUAAUAAUAAGGAUUUCUUAAUUUAGAUAUUAUAUCACAAUGUGCAACAUAACAUCUGACAAAAAAAGAAAAUGGUAUAUUCAUCAAUGGUACAAGUGGUAAGGGGACAGAUCAAUGUUUGUCACUGAAAGAAAAUUCAUUGCUGAAACUUGCGUAAAAACAACAAAAAAUGCAAAGCAAGAUUCAAAUAGAAGGCCCUCCUCUUUUUGAUGUUAUUAAGCGUACAACAUCAAUAUAUAGACAUAAGAUACAUAAUUAACAUAUAAAGAAUAAUAUUCAACAUAAAUACUAUGCAAAAUAAUAAAAUAAAAAUAAUUUUAUAGGCAA
This is a long non-coding RNA of Cataglyphis hispanica, 376 nucleotides long. RefSeq lists it as uncharacterized. The record is from RefSeq and is a predicted model, not a curated record. The transcript has 3 exons. NCBI's taxonomy places the organism in Eukaryota, Metazoa, Arthropoda, Insecta, Hymenoptera, Formicidae.